CGACCGGGCUGGACAGCCGCGCGGGCAGCGCCGAAAGGCCGUCCGUGAGGAAAGUCCGGGCUCCACAGGGCAAGGAUAACGGGUAACGCCCGCCGAAGGCAACUUCAGGAAAAGUGCAACAGAGAUAAACCGCCCCGCCGCCCCCAACGGGGCCGGCGCAAAAUUGCCUUUUUGCGCCAGCGGGGUAAGGGUGGAAAGGCGGAGGUAAGAGCCCGCCCGAUGACUGGGAACUGCUCAUCGCUGUAAACUCUAUCCGGAGCAACACCGCAGAGGGGACACAGGCUUGCCCGGCCGUCCCCGAGAAGGUGGCUGGAGCGUACCGGCAACGGUGCGCCUAGAUAGAUGGCUGUCUUAAAUGACAGAACCCGGCUUACAGGCCCGAUCGCAAC
Molecule: RNase P RNA, 389 nt
Filed under: Oscillospiraceae bacterium
Lineage: Bacteria; Bacillati; Bacillota; Clostridia; Eubacteriales; Oscillospiraceae
Description: RNase P RNA component class A
Rfam family: Bacterial RNase P class A
About the family: Ribonuclease P (RNase P) is a ubiquitous endoribonuclease, found in archaea, bacteria and eukarya as well as chloroplasts and mitochondria. Its best characterised activity is the generation of mature 5'-ends of tRNAs by cleaving the 5'-leader elements of precursor-tRNAs.
Source: RNAcentral